CAGCCUGAUGCAGCCAUGCCGCGUGUGUGAGAAGGCCUUCGGGUUGUAAAGCACUUUCAGCGGGGAGGAAGGCGGUGAGGUUAAUAACCUUAUCGAUUGACGUUACCCGCAGAAGAAGCACCGGCUAACUCCGUGCCAGCAGCCGCGGUAAUACGGAGGGUGCAAGCGUUAAUCGGAAUUACUGGGCGUAAAGCGCACGCAGGCGGUCUGUCAAGUCGGAUGUGAAAUCCCCGGGCUCAACCUGGGAACUGCAUUCGAAACUGGCAGGCUAGAGUCUUGUAGAGGGGGGUAGAAUUCCAGGUGUAGCGGUGAAAUGCGUAGAGAUCUGGAGGAAUACCGGUGGCGAAGGCGGCCCCCUGGACAAAGACUGACGCUCAGGUGCGAAAGCGUGGGGAGCAAACAGGAUUAGAUACC
This 414-nucleotide ribosomal RNA is filed under the name Klebsiella variicola. Its description in RNAcentral is "bacterial SSU rRNA". It matches the Rfam family "Bacterial small subunit ribosomal RNA", at positions 379 to 786 of the family's 1533-position model. The record is from RNAcentral. Lineage: Bacteria; Pseudomonadati; Pseudomonadota; Gammaproteobacteria; Enterobacterales; Enterobacteriaceae.